Molecule: long non-coding RNA, 515 nt
Filed under: Polistes fuscatus (common paper wasp)
Lineage: Eukaryota; Metazoa; Arthropoda; Insecta; Hymenoptera; Vespidae
Description: uncharacterized LOC122515619
Source: RNAcentral
AGAAGUCGAUGGUUAUCUUGCGACGAAGAGGAGGAAGCCGCAUCAUCAAGAGGCGGUUGCAUUGGUCGAGAUGCAUUGGCCAAUAUAUAAAGGUGGACAGAGUGAAAGAGUGUGUGUGUGUGUGUGUAUGAGAGAGAGAGAGAGAAGAGAGCCAGAAGAAAGGUGUAUCGCGGCCACUAUCUACGUAAUAUAUCGGAAAUGAACAACGACGGAGAGGAAGAGGGCACAACAACGACGACGACGAUGACGACGACGACGACACCGACGACGACGGGGAAGUUGCUUUGAAUACAUAGACGAGAAAGCGACACGAUAGGAAUAUUAAUUAAGUAAGAUCGCAUCAGGUACGUCACUGGCAGCUAAUUAGUGAGAGGAUUUGCGUAUUCUUCGUCAAAGUGCAUCGCGAAGAAAGCUAACGAAAAAAAAAAAAAAAUAAAAAAUACAAAAAAAAUAAAGAAAAAGAAACGAGAUCUCCGCGUGAUUAAAUAUUGUGAACAAUCGUGUUUGAUCCGUAA